This 67-nucleotide small RNA is filed under the name Salmonella enterica. Its description in RNAcentral is "partial RtT sRNA". It matches the Rfam family "RtT RNA", at positions 65 to 130 of the family's 130-position model. Rfam says of the family: This family represents a bacterial cis-regulatory element known as RtT RNA. The exact function of RtT is unknown although it is thought that it may be involved in changing the cellular response in relation to amino acid starvation. The record is from RNAcentral. Lineage: Bacteria; Pseudomonadati; Pseudomonadota; Gammaproteobacteria; Enterobacterales; Enterobacteriaceae. RNAcentral also lists the same sequence under 1 other name.
GCGUUGCCGCAGGCAACGACCCGAAGGGCGAAGCGCGCAGCGCUGAGUCAUCCUUCCCCCAUCACCA